ACAUACGACCAUCGGCAAAGUGCAGCACUGGCUCUCAUUGGAUCUCCAUACGUUAAGCCAUUGACCGGCGGAUUAGUAUUCAGGUGGGCGACCACUGACGAAUCCCAGCUGUUGUAUGUU
Molecule: ribosomal RNA, 120 nt
Filed under: Bipolaris sorokiniana
Lineage: Eukaryota; Fungi; Ascomycota; Dothideomycetes; Pleosporales; Pleosporaceae
Also listed under: 1 other name
Source: RNAcentral